Molecule: ribosomal RNA, 473 nt
Filed under: Escherichia coli
Lineage: Bacteria; Pseudomonadati; Pseudomonadota; Gammaproteobacteria; Enterobacterales; Enterobacteriaceae
Description: bacterial SSU rRNA
Rfam family: Bacterial small subunit ribosomal RNA
Source: RNAcentral
AAAUUGAAGAGUUUGAUCAUGGCUCAGAUUGAACGCUGGCGGCAGGCCUAACACAUGCAAGUCGAACGGUAACAGGAAACAGCUUGCUGUUUCGCUGACGAGUGGCGGACGGGUGAGUAAUGUCUGGGAAACUGCCUGAUGGAGGGGGAUAACUACUGGAAACGGUAGCUAAUACCGCAUAACGUCGCAAGACCAAAGAGGGGGACCUUCGGGCCUCUUGCCAUCGGAUGUGCCCAGAUGGGAUUAGCUAGUAGGUGGGGUAACGGCUCACCUAGGCGACGAUCCCUAGCUGGUCUGAGAGGAUGACCAGCCACACUGGAACUGAGACACGGUCCAGACUCCUACGGGAGGCAGCAGUGGGGAAUAUUGCACAAUGGGCGCAAGCCUGAUGCAGCCAUACCGCGUGUAUGAAGAAGGCCUUCGGGUUGUAAAGUACUUUCAGCGGGGAGGAAGGGAGUAAAGUUAAUACCUUU